Molecule: ribosomal RNA, 253 nt
Filed under: uncultured bacterium
Lineage: Bacteria
Description: partial 16S ribosomal RNA
Rfam family: Bacterial small subunit ribosomal RNA
Source: RNAcentral
UACGGAGGGUGCAAGCGUUGUUCGGAAUUACUGGGCGUAAAGCGCGCGUAGGCGGCUUUUUAAGUCAGAUGUGAAAGUCCACGGCUCAACCGUGGAAGUGCAUUUGAAACUGGGGAGCUUGAGUAUCAGAGGGGACAGUGGAAUUCCCGGUGUAGAGGUGAAAUUCGUAGAUAUCGGGAGGAAUACCGGUGGCGAAGGCGACUGUCUGGCUGAAUACUGACGCUGAGGUGCGAAAGCAUGGGGAGCAAACAGG